Molecule: ribosomal RNA, 431 nt
Filed under: uncultured bacterium
Lineage: Bacteria
Description: partial 16S ribosomal RNA
Rfam family: Bacterial small subunit ribosomal RNA
Source: RNAcentral
CCUACGGGAGGCAGCAGUGGGGAAUCUUGCGCAAUGGGCGAAAGCCUGACGCAGCAACGCCGCGUGGGGGAUGAAGGCUCUCGGGUUGUAAACCCCUUUCAGCAGGGACACGGUACCUGCAGAAGAAGCCCCGGCUAACUACGUGCCAGCAGCCGCGGUAACACGUAGGGGGCAAGCGUUGUCCGGAUUUAUUGGGCGUAAAGAGCUCGUAGGUGGCUGAGUAAGUCGGAUGUUAAAUCCCCAGGCUCAACCUGGGACACCACCCGAUACUGUCUGGCUAGAGUCCGGUAGGGGAGCGUGGAAUUCCUGGUGUAGCGGUGAAAUGCGCAGAUAUCAGGAGGAACACCAGCGGCGAAGGCGGCGCUCUGGGCCGGACUGACACUGAGGAGCGAAAGCGUGGGUAGCAAACAGGAUUAGAUACCCUUGUAGUC